This is a non-coding RNA of Prunus mume (Japanese apricot), 3767 nucleotides long. The record is from RefSeq and is a predicted model, not a curated record. Lineage: Eukaryota; Viridiplantae; Streptophyta; Magnoliopsida; Rosales; Rosaceae.
UAUUGCAUUAACAUUUAUACUUUGCUCUUAUUGUCAGGGAACUGAAACCGUUCGAGCCAUAUUCUUUAACAGAUCUAAGAUUGGAGAACUACACUUGGAUUGUGCAGACUUCAAAAAGAUGUCGAAUCUAAGUUUACUCAAUCUCGACGAUUCUGGCUUUGGCAACUAUUGCCAAUUAAAAGUUUCUCUUCCCAAUUCUCUUUGUUAUCUUUCGUGGGCGGAAUAUCCUUUGAAAUCUAUGCCAUCAAUUUUUUUUAUUUUUCCAGAAAAUCUUGUUGAGCUUCGAAUGCACGGCAGCAAAGUUGAGCAACUUUGGAAUAAAGACCAGAAUCUUGAGAACUUAUAAGUGAUGGAUCUUAGUUUCUCCACUCAUCUUAUUAAAGUCCCAGAUCUCUCUCUAAGUCGAAAAUUGAAUGCUCGAAUCUCAAAUAUGCCAAGCAACAUUGAAUUCUUAAAUUUGUCUAAAACUGCAAUAAAGGAUUUGCCUUCAUCAGUUUGGUCUCACAAAAAGAUUUCUUACUUGGAUAUUCGAUUUUGUAAUGACCUUAGGAAUCUCCCAAGCUGCUGUUGUAAGCUGAAACUACCCUCUGUUUUCAGCCUAGAGGGCUCCUCAUGUCUUGGCAAGUUUUCGGAGCUUCCAAGGGAUCUAACAGUGUUAGAAAUGAUAGGAGCAAAAAUAGAAGUGUUGCCCUCAUGGUCUCAAUACAAUUCGACUACUUGAUUGCAAAAGAUUUGUGACUCUUCCAUCGACCAUUUGUAAGUUAAAAUCUCUUAUAAAUCUUGAUCUCGGUGGUUGCUCAAAAUUCAAGUACUUGCCAGAAAUCUUGGAGCCUACGGGAAAUUUGAAGUUUCUUUCAUUAGAAGGAACAAAUAUUAAAGUGCUACCCUCAUCAAUCGAAUUUCUCUUUAGUCUCGUCAAAAUUGAACUGACAAAUUGCAAAAAGUUUGUGGUGUCUCCCAACAAGCAUUUGUAAGUUGAAAUGUCUUUCCGACCUUGAUCUCACCGGUUACUCUAAAUUUGACGACUACCCAGAAAUCUUUGAGCCUGUGGGAGAACUGAAAAUUCUUUCAUUAGAAGGAGCAUCUGUUAAAGAGCUGCCCUCAUCAAUCGAAUGUCUCUUUGGUCUCUCGAAAAUUGAAGUGAAAAAUUCCAAAAGGUGGUUGCGUCUCCAAAAGGCUGUUAAAGAGCCUAUGAAAGAUGAAUUUUCUUUCAUUAAAAGGAACAGCGGUUAAAGAGCUGGGUUUUGAUUUCAGUAUCAGCAGAUGUAGAACUUGAAGAAGAAUUUGUAGAUGCAUCAGAUGUAGAAGAAAUUGAAGUCUCAUCAAAUGUUACUGAAACUGUUCGAGUCAUAUUAUCAUAAUCACAUUUGCCAGGACGGAGGCCAAUUUCAUUGAGAACGUUGUCGAAGAUAUUUUGACCAAAUUGAAUCGCAAAUCGUCAAGUGUUUUAAAGGGCCUAGUUGGAAUUUAAUGGAAAAUUGAGCAAAUAGAAAGGUUAUUAUGCAUUAAUUCACCAGAUGUUUUCACUGUAGGUAUUUGGGGCAUGGUUGGUAUUGGGAUGACCACUCUUGAUGCUGUGUAUCACUCUGUUUCUUCCAAAUUUGAAGCUUCUUGUUUUCUUGCUAAUGUUAUGGAGGAGUCAGAAAGCAUGGACUAAAGCACUUGCGAAAUGUCCUUCAUGAGAUAUUAAACGAAAAAGAUCUAACUAUUGACACUCCUUUGGUAUCAACUUUUGUUCGAGAAAGGCUAAGCCAUAGAAAGGUCCUCAUUGUUCUAUUGAAACAUGUUACACAGAGGUUUUCAGAAUGGUGGUAGAUUUUGCCGGAGGCAUGCCAUUAGCUGUUAAGAUUUUGGGUUCCGUAUUCCUUCACUGCGACAACAAUGAAGACUGGAAAGAUGAAUGGAAUAAGUUAAAAAAUUUCCCAACCAAGAUAUUGAGAAUAUGUUGAGACUAAGUUAUGAUGGAUUGGACAAAAAUGCAGAGGAGAUAUUUCUUUUUAUAGCAUGUUUCUAUAAAGGGAUGACAAUAGAUUUUGCAAAGGAAAUGGUAUAUAGACGUGGUUUAUUUGCGGGUGGAAUUAAAGUUCUCAUUGAUAAGUCUCUUGUAUCAAGUUCAAGAUGGAACAGCCUAGAGAUGCAUGAUUUGGUUCAGGAAAUGGGGAACUGAAACCGUUCGAGCCAUAUUCUUUAACAGAUCUAAGAUUGGAGAACUACACUUGGAUUGUGCAGACUUCAAAAAGAUGUCUAAUCUAAGUUUACUCAAUCUGGACGAUUCUGACUUUGGCAACUAUUGCCAAUUAAAAGUUUCUCUUCCCAAUUCUCUUUGUUAUCUUUCGUGGGAGGAAUAUCUUUCGAAAUCUAUGCCAUCAAAUUUUUUUCCAGAAAAUCUUGUUGAGCUUCGAAUGCACGUUAGCAAAGUUGAGCAACUUUGGAAUAAAGACCAGAAUCUUGUGAACUUAAAAGUGAUGGAUCUCAGUUUCUCCACUCAUCUUAAUAAAGUCCCAGAUCUCUCUCAAAGUCGAAAAUUGGUGCAUAUAAAUCUUUUCGGCUGUACAAGUUUGGUUCAAAUACUUCGUAUUUUCAGUGUCUUGACAAGCUUACUCAGCUUGACCUGGGAGAAUGCUCGAAUCUCAAAUAUAUUCCACAGAUGCCAAGCAACAUUGAAUACUUAAACUUGUCUAAAACUGCAAUAAAGGAAAUGCCUUCAUCAGUUUGGUCUCACAAAACGAUUUCUUACUUGGAUAUUCGAUUUUGUAAUGACCUUAGGAAUUUCCCAAGCAGCAGUUGUAAGCUGAAACUACCCCCUGGUUUCAGUCUAGAGGGCUGCUCAUGUCUUGGCAAGUUUUCGGAGCUUUGAAGGGAUCUAACAGUGUUAGAAAUGAUAAGGGCAAAAAUAGAAGUGUUGCCCUCAUCAAUCGAGUAUCUCUUUGGUCUCAACACAAUUUGACUACUUGAUUGCAAAAGAUUUGUGACUCUUCCAUUGGCCAUUUGUAAGUUAAAGUCUCUUAUAAAUCUUUGUCUCGUUAGUUGCUCAAAAUUCAAGUACUUCCCAGAAAUCUUGGAGCCUAUGGGAAAUCUGAAGUUCUGAAGUUUCUUUCAUUAAAAGGGACAAAUAUUAAAGAGCUACCCUCAGCAAUCGAAUUUCUCUUUAGUCUCGUCAAAAUUGAACUGACAAAUUGCAAAAAGUUUGUGUCUCCCAACAAGCAUUUGUAAGUCGAAAUGUCUUUCUGACCUUGAUCUCACUGGUUGCUCUAAAUUUGAGGACUUCCCAGAAAUCUUCGAGCCUACGGGAGAACUGAAAAUUCUUUCAUUAGAAGGAACAUCUGUUAAAGAGCUACCCUCAUCAAUGGAAUGUCUCUUUGGACUCUCGAAAAUUGAAGUGAAAAAUUCCAAAAGGUUGUUGCGUCUCCAAAAGGCUGUUAAAGAGCCUAUGAAAGAUGAAUUUUCUUUCAUUGAAAGGAACAGUGGUUAAAGAGCUGGGGUUUGAUUUCAGUAUCAGCAGAAGUAGAACUUGAAAAAGAAUUUGUAGAUGCAUCAGAUGUAGAAGAAAUUGAAGUCUCAUCAGAUGUCAGGGAAUCCAUUCCCCAAUAAAUGUGGGGAUGAAGAAUCUCCAAUAUGAAUAUUGCAGAUAAGAAAGCGGGGAUGGGGAAUAAAAAGCUCAAUGAAAAUGAAGAUGGGAAUAGCAUACCCACCUUUCAUUUGCUUCAUUGUCAUUCCUAUAGGCAUGAGCUUCAGCUCCCAAAAAGUUUCUAAGUUUCCAUACAUGA